This 550-nucleotide ribosomal RNA is filed under the name uncultured Glomeromycotina. RNAcentral describes it as "SSU rRNA". It matches the Rfam family "Eukaryotic small subunit ribosomal RNA", at positions 548 to 1097 of the family's 1831-position model. The record is from RNAcentral. Lineage: Eukaryota; Fungi; Glomeromycota.
UUGGAGGGCAAGUCUGGUGCCAGCAGCCGCGGUAAUUCCAGCUCCAAUAGCGUAUAUUAAAGUUGUUGCAGUUAAAAAGCUCGUAGUUGAAUUUCGGAAUCUGUCCAUCGGUCGGGCUUCACUGUCCGUACUGGUGUGGUGGGUUCUUACCUUCUGAAUAACCAUCAUGCCAUUCACUUGGUGCGUUGGGGAAGCAGGACUAUUACCUUGAAAAAAUUAGAGUGCUCAAAGCAGGCUAGUGCCUGAAUACAUUAGCAUGGAAUAAUAAAAUAGGACGGCAUGGUUCUAUUUUGUUGGUUUCUAGGAUCACCGUAAUGAUUAAUAGGGAUAGUUGGGGGCAUUAGUAUUCAAUUGUCAGAGGUGAAAUUCUUGGAUUUAUUGAAGACUAACUUCUGCGAAAGCAUUUGCCAAGGAUGUUUUCAUUAAUCAAGAACGAAAGUUAGGGGAUCGAAGACGAUCAGAUACCGUCGUAGUCUUAACCAUAAACUAUGCCGACUAGGGAUCGGACGAUGUUAAUUUUUUAAUGACUCGUUCGGCGCCUUACGGGAAA